RNAcentral lists this microRNA (21 nucleotides) under Vitis vinifera (wine grape). The record is from RNAcentral. Lineage: Eukaryota; Viridiplantae; Streptophyta; Magnoliopsida; Vitales; Vitaceae.
CGAGUCAAGGAUGACUUGCCG